Molecule: ribosomal RNA, 398 nt
Filed under: Chlamydomonas sp. MACC 395
Lineage: Eukaryota; Viridiplantae; Chlorophyta; Chlorophyceae; Chlamydomonadales; Chlamydomonadaceae
Description: SSU rRNA
Rfam family: Eukaryotic small subunit ribosomal RNA
Source: RNAcentral
ACUCAGGUUGUUUGCAGGUUUAAAAAGCUCGUAGUUGGAUUUCGGGUGAGUCGACGCGGUCUGCCUCUGGUAUGUACUGCGCUCGGUUCACCUUUCUGCUGGGGACGGGCUCCUGGGCUUAACUGCUUGGGACCUGGAAUCAGCGAAGUGACCUUGAGCAAACAAGAGUGUUCAAAGCAAGCCGACGCUCUGAAUUUUUUAGCAUGGAAUCACACGAUAGGACUCUGGCCUAUCUUGUUGGUCUGUAGGACCGGAGUAAUGAUUAAGAGGGACAGUCGGGGGCAUUCGUAUUUCAUUGUCAGAGGUGAAAUUCUUGGAUUUAUGAAAGACGAACUUCUGCGAAAGCAUUUGCCAAGGAUGUUUUCAUUGAUCAAGAACGAAAGUUGGGGGCUCGAAGA